GAUGAACGCUGGCGGCGUGCCUAAUACAUGCAAGUCGAGCGAACAGACGAUAAGCGUGCGCUUCUGACGUUGGCGACGGACGGGUGAGUAACACGUGAAUAACCUUUCUCUAAGACUUGGGUAACUUCGUGAGACCAGAGCUACUACUGGAUAAUAUAUUUAACCGCAUGGUUCAAGAGUUCAACGCGGUUUUGCUGUCACUUAUAGAUGGAUCCGCGCCGGAUUAGCUAGUUGGUAAGGUAACGGCUCACCAAGGCAACGAUGCGUAGCCGAUCUGAGAGGAUGAUCGGCCACACUGGAACUGAGACACGGUCCAGACUCCUACGGGAGGCAGCAGUGGGGAAUAUUGGACAAUGGGCGCAAGCCUGAUCCAGCCAUGCCGCGUGGGUGAAGAAGGCCUUCGGGUUGUAAAACCCUGUUGUUGGGGAAGAAAAACAGCGGGUUAAUACCCCGCUGUUCUGACGGUACCCAAAGAAUAAGCACCGGCUAACUUCGUG
This 497-nucleotide ribosomal RNA is filed under the name uncultured bacterium. RNAcentral's name for it is "partial 16S ribosomal RNA". It matches the Rfam family "Bacterial small subunit ribosomal RNA", at positions 28 to 507 of the family's 1533-position model. The record is from RNAcentral.